UACCAGCUCUUCGAGUGGUGUGGAUGUUUAUUGGGCCUAAAGCAUCCGUAGCUGGCUGGGCAAGUCCCCUGUUAAAUCCACCGAUUUAAUCGUUGGAGUGCGGGGGAUACUGUUCGGCUAGGGGACGGGGGAGGCAGACGGUAUUUUCGGGGUAGGGGUGAAAUCCUAUAAUCCCGAGAAGACCACCAGUGGCGAAGGCUGUCUGCUAGAACGCGCCCGACGGUGAGGGAUGAAAGCUGGGGGAGCGAACCGGAUUAGAUACCCGGGUAGUCCCAGCUGUAAACGAUGCAGGCUAGGUGUUUGGACGGCCACGUGCCGUUCUAGUGCCGCAGGGAAGCCGUUAAGCCUGCCGCCUGGGGAGUACGGCCGCAAGGCUGAAACUUAAAGGAAUUGGCGGGGGAGCACCACAAGGGGUGAAGCUUGCGGUUU
RNAcentral lists this ribosomal RNA (429 nucleotides) under uncultured archaeon. Its description in RNAcentral is "bacterial SSU rRNA". It matches the Rfam family "Archaeal small subunit ribosomal RNA", at positions 474 to 903 of the family's 1478-position model. The record is from RNAcentral.